GGGGCUGUAGCUCAGCUUGGGAGAGCGCCUGACUGGCAGUCAGGAGGUCGUGGGUUCGAAUCCCAUCAGCUCCACCA
Molecule: transfer RNA, 77 nt
Filed under: Acidobacteriota bacterium
Lineage: Bacteria; Pseudomonadati; Acidobacteriota
Description: tRNA-Ala
Rfam family: tRNA
About the family: Transfer RNA (tRNA) molecules are approximately 80 nucleotides in length. Their secondary structure includes four short double-helical elements and three loops (D, anti-codon, and T loops). Further hydrogen bonds mediate the characteristic L-shaped molecular structure. tRNAs have two regions of fundamental functional importance: the anti-codon, which is responsible for specific mRNA codon recognition, and the 3' end, to which the tRNAs corresponding amino acid is attached (by aminoacyl-tRNA synthetases). tRNAs cope with the degeneracy of the genetic code in two manners: having more than one tRNA (with a specific anti-codon) for a particular amino acid; and 'wobble' base-pairing, i.e. permitting non-standard base-pairing at the 3rd anti-codon position.
Source: RNAcentral